UACGUAGGGUGCAAGCGUUGUCCGGAAUUAUUGGGCGUAAAGAGCUCGUAGGCGGUUUGUCGCGUCUGGUGUGAAAAUCCAGGGCUUAACCCUGGACCUGCAUCGGGUACGGGCAGACUAGAGUGCGGUAGGGGAGAUCGGAAUUCCUGGUGUAGCGGUGAAAUGCGCAGAUAUCAGGAGGAACACCGGUGGCGAAGGCGGAUCUCUGGGCCGAUACUGACGCUGAGGAGCGAAAGCGUGGGGAGCGAACAGG
RNAcentral lists this ribosomal RNA (253 nucleotides) under uncultured bacterium. Its description in RNAcentral is "partial 16S ribosomal RNA". It matches the Rfam family "Bacterial small subunit ribosomal RNA", at positions 524 to 776 of the family's 1533-position model. The record is from RNAcentral.